GGGCCCUCCUGCGUGGCAGGUCCCGAGUGACCGCCCAGGUCGCAGGCCGGUGAAAGCAGCCCUGCUCCCUCCACACCCCCUCUCCGGGCCCCAGGACCCCAGGUGGCCUCCCCGGCCUCUUGGGUCCUCGCCGCCGUGGGGAGGGAAGGAAGAACACGGGCCGCAACACCCCUCUCCCUCCUCCCAUCUCCCUUCCAGGCCUGGAUCCGGCUGCCCCCCCAGACCCAAACCCCGGCCCGGCUGAAGCCCCCACCGUGGCUGAGGGAGGGAUACCCUCCCUAGGGUCUGGCGCCUACUUCAGCAGGAAGGCCCGACUCUCCUUCCGCCACCAGCUGCACGACCCGGCGUCGGCCAAUGACUCCACCAUUUGAUGGGGACGACCGGGGGCUGAACUUUGCAACCUUCCCUCCCCAGACUUCUGGGUGAUCCCUGUUUGGCCCCACAGCCCCCACGACCUUGUCAUUAAAUAUACUCAGAGCUGCCA
This 484-nucleotide long non-coding RNA is filed under the name Lynx pardinus (Iberian lynx). The record is from RNAcentral. Lineage: Eukaryota; Metazoa; Chordata; Mammalia; Carnivora; Felidae.